CAGUCGCCGCGGGAAUACAGAGGAUGCAAGCGUUAUCCGGAAUGAUUGGGCGUAAAGAGUGCGUAGGUGGUCUACUAAGCGCGAGGUGAAAGGCAAUGGCUCAACCAUUGUUAGCCUUGCGAACUGGCAGACUUGAGUGCAAGAGAGGAAAGCGGAAUUCCUAGUGUAGCGGUGGAAUGCGCAGAUAUUAGGAGGAACACCGGCGGCGAAGGCGGCUUUCUGGAUUGUAACUGACACUGAGGCACGAAAGCGUGGGUAGCAAACAGGAUUAGAUACCCCUGUAGUCCUUGUCUCUUAUACA
RNAcentral lists this ribosomal RNA (301 nucleotides) under uncultured bacterium. RNAcentral describes it as "partial 16S ribosomal RNA". It matches the Rfam family "Bacterial small subunit ribosomal RNA", at positions 509 to 808 of the family's 1533-position model. The record is from RNAcentral.